AACAGGAUUCCCCUAGUAACUGCGAGUGAAGCGGGAAAAGCUCAAAUUUAAAAUCUGGUGGUCUUUGGCCAUCCGAGUUGUAAUCUAGAGAAGUGUUAUCCGCGCUGGACCGUGUACAAGUCCCCUGGAAUGGGGCGUCAUAGAGGGUGAGAAUCCCGUCUUUGACACGGACUACCAGGGCUUUGUGAUGCACUCUCAAAGAGUCGAGUUGUUUGGGAAUGCAGCUCAAAAUGGGUGGUAAAUUCCAUCUAAAGCUAAAUAUUGGCGAGAGACCGAUAGCGAACAAGUACCGUGAGGGAAAGAUGAAAAGAACUUUGGAAAGAGAGUUAAACAGUACGUGAAAUUGUUGAAAGGGAAACGCUUGAAGUCAGUCGCGUCUGCCAGGGAUCAACCUUACUUUUGUGAGGCGUACUUCCUGGUUGAUGGGUCAGCAUCAGUUUUGGUUGCUGGAUAAAGGUCAGAGAAAUGUGGCACCUUCGGGUGUGUUAUAGUCUUUGAUCAGAUACAGUGGCUGGGACUGAGGAACUCAGCGCCGCAAGGCUGUCUUAGGAUGCUGGCAAAAUGGCUUUAAUCGACCCGUCUUGAAACACGGACCAAGGAGUCUAACAUGCCUGCGAGUGUUUGGGUGGAAAACCCGAGCGCGUAAUGAAAGUGAAAGUUGGGAUCCUUGUCAUGGGGAGCACCGACGCCCAUACCAGAAGUUUACGGACGGAUAUGCGGUGGAGCAUGUAUGUUGGGACCCGAAAGAUGGUGAACUAUGCCUGAAUAGGGCGAAGCCAGAGGAAACUCUGGUGGAGACUCGUAGCGAUUCUGACGUGCAAAUCGAUCGUCGAAUUUGGGUAUAGGGGCGAAAGACUAAUCGAACC
This 866-nucleotide ribosomal RNA is filed under the name Pleurotus eryngii. RNAcentral's name for it is "eukaryotic LSU rRNA". It matches the Rfam family "Eukaryotic large subunit ribosomal RNA", at positions 68 to 941 of the family's 3401-position model. Lineage: Eukaryota; Fungi; Basidiomycota; Agaricomycetes; Agaricales; Pleurotaceae. The record is from RNAcentral.